UGCCAGCAGCCGCGGUAAUACGGAGGGUGCGAGCGUUAAUCGGAAUUACUGGGCGUAAAGCGUACGCAGGCGGUUUGUUAAGCGAGAUGUGAAAGCCCCGGGCUCAACCUGGGAACUGCAUUUCGAACUGGCAAACUAGAGUGUGAUAGAGGGUGGUAGAAUUUCAGGUGUAGCGGUGAAAUGCGUAGAGAUCUGAAGGAAUACCGAUGGCGAAGGCAGCCACCUGGGUCAACACUGACGCUCAUGUACGAAAGCGUGGGGAGCAAACGGGAUUAGAUACCCCGGUAGUCCACGCCGUAAACGAUGUCUACUAGGAGUUCGGUUUUUCGGAACUGUCUUCCAAAGCUAACGCAUUAAGUAGACCGCCUGGGGAGUACGGCCGCAAGGUUAAAACUCAAAUGAAUUGACGGGGGCCCGCACAAGCGGUGGAGCAUGUGGUUUAAUUCGAUGCAACGCGAAGAACCUUACCUACACUUGACAUCCAGAGAACUUACUAGAGAUAGUUUGGUGCCUUCGGGAACUCUGAGACAGGUGCUGCAUGGCUGUCGUCAGCUCGUGUUGUGAGAUGUUGGGUUAAGUCCCGCAACGAGCGCAACCCCUAUCCUUAGUUGCCAGCGAUUCGGUCGGGAACUCUAAGGAGACUGCCGGUGAUAAACCGGAGGAAGGUGGGGACGACGUCAAGUCAUCAUGGCCCUUACGUGUAGGGCUACACACGUGACUACAAUGGCGCAUACAGAGUGCUGCGAACUCGCGAGAGUAAGCGAAUCACUUAAAGUGCGUCGUAGUCCGGAUUGGAGUCUGCAACUCGACUCCAUGAAGUCGGACAUCGCUAGUAAUCGCGAAUCAGAAUGUCGCGGUGAAUACGUUCCCGGGCCUUGUACACACCGCCCGUCACACCAUGGGAGUGGGUUGCUCCAGAAGU
Molecule: ribosomal RNA, 922 nt
Filed under: Pseudoalteromonas sp. kbs19
Lineage: Bacteria; Pseudomonadati; Pseudomonadota; Gammaproteobacteria; Alteromonadales; Pseudoalteromonadaceae
Description: bacterial SSU rRNA
Rfam family: Bacterial small subunit ribosomal RNA
Source: RNAcentral